GCAGUGGUAGUUCAGUUGGUUAGAAUAUCGGCCUGUCACGCCGGGGGUCGCGAGUUCGAGUCUCGUCCACUGCGCCA
Molecule: transfer RNA, 77 nt
Filed under: Pseudomonas sp.
Lineage: Bacteria; Pseudomonadati; Pseudomonadota; Gammaproteobacteria; Pseudomonadales; Pseudomonadaceae
Also listed under: 1 other name
Description: tRNA-Asp
Rfam family: tRNA
About the family: Transfer RNA (tRNA) molecules are approximately 80 nucleotides in length.
Source: RNAcentral